RNAcentral lists this ribosomal RNA (407 nucleotides) under Devosia sp. Its description in RNAcentral is "bacterial SSU rRNA". It matches the Rfam family "Bacterial small subunit ribosomal RNA", at positions 468 to 875 of the family's 1533-position model. The record is from RNAcentral. Lineage: Bacteria; Pseudomonadati; Pseudomonadota; Alphaproteobacteria; Hyphomicrobiales; Devosiaceae.
AAUGACGGUACCCACAGAAGAAGCCCCGGCUAACUUCGUGCCAGCAGCCGCGGUAAUACGAAGGGGGCUAGCGUUGUUCGGAUUUACUGGGCGUAAAGCGCACGUAGGCGGAUUGUUAAGUCAGGGGUGAAAUCCUGGAGCUCAACUCCAGAACUGCCUUUGAUACUGGCAAUCUCGAGUCCGGAAGAGGUAAGUGGAACUCCUAGUGUAGAGGUGGAAUUCGUAGAUAUUAGGAAGAACACCAGUGGCGAAGGCGGCUUACUGGUCCGGUACUGACGCUGAGGUGCGAAAGCGUGGGGAGCAAACAGGAUUAGAUANCCUGGUAGUCCACGCCGUAAACUAUGAGAGCUAGCCGUUGGGACGUUUACGUCUCAGUGGCGCAGCUAACGCAUUAAGCUCUCCGCCUG